AUUGAACGCUGGCGGCAUGCCUUACACAUGCAAGUCGAACGGCAGCACGGGAGCAAUCCUGGUGGCGAGUGGCGAACGGGUGAGUAAUAUAUCGGAACGUGCCCGGUCGUGGGGAUAACGUAGCGAAAGCUACGCUAAUACCGCAUACGAUCUACGGAUGAAAGCGGGGGAUCGCAAGACCUCGCGCGAUUGGAGCGGCCGAUAUCAGAUUAGGUAGUUGGUGAGGUAAAGGCUCACCAAGCCGACGAUCUGUAGCUGGUCUGAGAGGACGACCAGCCACACUGGGACUGAGACACGGCCCAGACUCCUACGGGAGGCAGCAGUGGGGAAUUUUGGACAAUGGGCGCAAGCCUGAUCCAGCAAUGCCGCGUGCAGGAUG
RNAcentral lists this ribosomal RNA (379 nucleotides) under uncultured bacterium. RNAcentral describes it as "bacterial SSU rRNA". It matches the Rfam family "Bacterial small subunit ribosomal RNA", at positions 30 to 410 of the family's 1533-position model. The record is from RNAcentral.